UUUCCGUAGGUGAACCUGCGGAAGGAUCAUUAUUGAAUAAACCUGAUGUGGUUGUAGCUGGCCCUUUCGGGAGCAUGUGCACACCCGUCGUUUUUAUCUUUCCACCUGUGCACCUUUUGUAUACCUGGAUGUAACACUUUCCGAGGCAACUCGGUCGGGAGGAAUGCUGUCAGCUUUCCUUGAAUGUCCAGGCCUAUGUUUUCAUAUACCCCAAAGAAUGUAACAGAAUGUAUUAUUGGGCCUUGUGCCUAUAAACUAUAUACAACUUUCAGCAACGGAUCUCUUGGCUCUC
RNAcentral lists this unclassified non-coding RNA (292 nucleotides) under plant metagenome. RNAcentral's name for it is "partial contains small subunit ribosomal RNA, internal transcribed spacer 1, and 5.8S ribosomal RNA". The record is from RNAcentral.